UUAGCUUGGGCUAUCCUUCAUAAGAAUCCACUCAUUACUUGAUGUUUUGCUAUAGAUUAGUUGUUGUUAAUACCUUGAUACUUGUAUGUUCAUGACCCUCCUUGUUGUUUAUAACAACAAGUGUAGUGGUGAACAAUAGAGGUGCCUAAAUGGAAGCUUGUUCUUCCUACCUCAUGUAUGUAUUCUAUGACACAAAGAGGUACCUAAAUGGAGACAUUAAUCUCCUACCUCAUGCUUGAAUCAUAAGACUUGUAAACUAUAUAAUAUCUAAGUUAUUCUAUAUGUAUACAUCUAAGUAACUAAGACUUGAUGAUGACUUAAUAGUUAUUUGUUAAGUGGACGUUACAUCAUCUAUGACCAUGCCCUUGUUACGACUCUAAUGGAUCUUAGAAUCCAUGAAAUCAUACCAACUCUUUUGAGUUUCAAUAGUGUCAAGAACAAGAGUUAUGCGUACAAGAUGAUUAUUUUCACCUAUGUUACUUUCUAUAUAUUAAAAACUCCGAAUCUAUAAUCUUCCGUUAUACGCCAAACUCACACACCUACGUUUCCUUGUACACAUGCCAUAUUUAAGGGUUUUACCCACAAGUAAUGUUCAAGUGUGAAACUUGUUGAAUGUGUGAUGGUUGGAUUAGCUUGGGCUAUCCUUCAUAAGAAUCCACUCAUUACUUGAUGUUUUGCUAUAGAUUAGUUGUUGUUAAUACCUUGAUACUUGUAUGUUCAUGACCCUCCUUGUUGUUUAUAACAACAAGUGUAGUGGUGAACAAUAGAGGUGCCUAAAUGGAAGCUUGUUCUUCCUACCUCAUGUAUGUAUUCUAUGACACAAAGAGGUACCUAAAUGGAGACAUUAAUCUCCUACCUCAUGCUUGAAUCAUAAGACUUGUAAACUAUAUAAUAUCUAAGUUAUUCUAUAUGUAUACAUCUAAGUAACUAAGACUUGAUGAUGACUUAAUAGUUAUUUGUUAAGUGGACGUUACAUCAUCUAUGACCAUGCCCUUGUUACGACUCUAAUGGAUCUUAGAAUCCAUGAAAUCAUACCAACUCUUUUGAGUUUCAAUAGUGUCAAGAACAAGAGUUAUGCGUACAAGAUGAUUAUUUUCACCUAUGUUACUUUCUAUAUAUUAAAAACUCCGAAUCUAUAAUCUUCCGUUAUACGCCAAACUCACACACCUACGUUUCCUUGUGUAGAAGGACAAGGUGCUCCGAACUAAUUCAUCUACAAACUUGCUCUCGGAAUUUCAAGUCACCACUUGUAAACCGUGAGUAUACUCGUAUUUCCCCCUUUUUACUUUUACCACUUUUGG
This 1301-nucleotide long non-coding RNA is filed under the name Helianthus annuus (common sunflower). RNAcentral describes it as "hypothetical non coding rna". Lineage: Eukaryota; Viridiplantae; Streptophyta; Magnoliopsida; Asterales; Asteraceae. The record is from RNAcentral.